RNAcentral lists this transfer RNA (64 nucleotides) under Tritoma metasobrina. RNAcentral describes it as "tRNA-Cys". The record is from RNAcentral. Lineage: Eukaryota; Metazoa; Arthropoda; Insecta; Coleoptera; Erotylidae.
AGUUUUAUAUUCAAUUAUGAUUUUAAAUUGCAAAUUUAAAGGUAAAGAGUUUCUUUUAAAACUU